AGGUGUAGAGCAUUUGACUGCAUAAGAGGCUCACCUUACCAGGUUUUAUUUCUUAGAGAAGUUUUAGCUAAGGAGAUAUUUAAGCCAGAAACUAAAAGGCAAGGAAAAAAAGAGACAGAAAGGAGAGAUGCAAAAGCAUUUGGGCUGUGGAAAUGCCUAACUGCUGUGAAUGCUUAGUCAUUCAGUGUGGCCGGAGGUCAAGGUUGAGUGCAAGGCAGAGAGCAGGAAAUAAAACUCAUGAGAAAAGUCACAUGCUACUGAAAACUGGUUGAUUUGGGGAGAAGGGUUGCUGGAUGAAGAGAGCUCCUGGAUUGAGGUCAUGUCCAUGAAGAGAGAGGCAGAUGAGCAAACUGAUGUCAAGGUCAUACAACUACUGAAUGGCGGAAUCCAGAUUUCAUUCCCGGCAAACAGAGUCCAGAGCCCUAAAACUUCAACCAUUAUAUACACUGUGAAGAUAUUUCAUUAAAUACAGAUGGAAUUAAAUCAUCUGACAUUAGAGACAAAGGAAAUUCUGAGAUUAUUGAUUUCCAUCAUGAAACAGAUAUAGAAACUGAAGCUAAGACUUGGAAGUGUCUUGGUUCAGGUGAUUUAUAUAAUUGCAGAAACGUAUCUGCACAAGGCUCCUGACUCCUCAUUAGAAUUACUUUUGCAAAGUUUACUCCAUCUCUUCUGCAAAGUUUCCUCCUUCUUUGCACUUGCAUACCCCUUUCAGGGUUUUGUUU
Long non-coding RNA from Bos taurus (domestic cattle), 722 nucleotides. Lineage: Eukaryota; Metazoa; Chordata; Mammalia; Artiodactyla; Bovidae. The record is from Ensembl.